This 771-nucleotide ribosomal RNA is filed under the name Triticum aestivum (bread wheat). RNAcentral's name for it is "partial small subunit ribosomal RNA". Lineage: Eukaryota; Viridiplantae; Streptophyta; Magnoliopsida; Poales; Poaceae. The record is from RNAcentral.
AUGGAGCGCCUGCCGGCGGAACUCGUCUCGGCGGCGUUCGCCGGCACCACGCCACGUGACGCCGGUCGUGCCGCCAUGGUCUCCACAGCAUUCCGCGCUGCAGCCGACUCCGACAUCGUUUGGGCCCGCUUCCUGCCGCCCCUCGAGCCGCUGGCCCCCGAGCCGCAGUCAAAAAAGGACAUGUUCUUACGCCUCUUGGACGGCCCCGUCCUCCUCCGAGACAGGCUCAUGACUAUGUGGCUGGACAGGGAGACCUUCGCCAAAUGCUACAUGCUGUCGGCGAGGAAUCUGUUCAUCGCGUCGGGCCACAUGCCGCAGCACUGGAGCUGGAUCCCUCUCUCCGACUCCAUGUUCUCUGAAGGGGCUCAACUAAACAGUGUGACAUGGCUGGAAAUCCGUGGAGGCAUACACACCGACAUGCUCACCCCAGACUCCAAGUACGGGGCUUACCUCGUGUUUAAGAGGACCCAAAAUUUCAGUGGGUUCAAUUAUCCAAUCCAGAAGGCCACGCUCUACUUUGGACAAAUAAUGGAAUAUACCAGUCCGGUUCUCCUUGGUGAGAAUUGGACGCCGCCGCCAGAACUGGGUGUAGCUCAGCCUCAGCGCAGAGCCGACGGUUGGAUGGAGAUAUCGCUGGGUCACUUCCACACGAGCGGGAAUGAAUUAUAUGCUGAGAUGUCCUUCAGCCUGAUGGAGACGGAAGGAGAAGUGACACAGAAGCGUGGUCUGAUCGUGCAUGGCAUUGAGAUCAGACGUGAGAAAUCAGGAUGA